This 479-nucleotide ribosomal RNA is filed under the name uncultured bacterium. RNAcentral describes it as "bacterial SSU rRNA". It matches the Rfam family "Bacterial small subunit ribosomal RNA", at positions 328 to 793 of the family's 1533-position model. The record is from RNAcentral.
UGACAGUACUCCUACGGGGAGGCAGCAGUGGGGGAAUAUUGCACAAUGGGCGCAAGCCUGAUGCAGCCAUGCCGCGUGUGUGAAGAAGGACCUUCGGGUUGUAAAGCACUUUCAGUCGUGAGGAAGGUAGUGUAGUUAAUAGCUGCAUUAUUUGACGUUAGCGACAGAAGAAAGCACCGGCUAACUCCGUGCCAGUAGCCGCGGUAAUACGGAGGGGUGCGAGCGUUAAUCGGAAUUACUGGGCGUAAAGCGCAUGCAGGUGGUUUGUUAAGUCAGAUGUGAAAGCCCGGGGCUCAACCUCGGAAUAGCAUUUGAAACUGGCAGACUAGAGUACUGUAGAGGGGGGUAGGAAUUUCAGGUGUAGCGGUGAAAUGCGUAGAGAUCUGAAGGAAUACCGGUGGCGAAGGCGGCCCCCUGGACAGAUACUGACACUCAGAUGCGAAAGCGUGGGGAGCAAACAGGAUUAGAUACCCUGGUAG